RNAcentral lists this long non-coding RNA (638 nucleotides) under Bos taurus (domestic cattle). RNAcentral's name for it is "long non-coding RNA NONBTAT018759". Lineage: Eukaryota; Metazoa; Chordata; Mammalia; Artiodactyla; Bovidae. The record is from RNAcentral.
CAAAAAUGAGUUUCCUAUACAAAUGCUGGAGAAGCAGUAAAAGAAAACCAGAGGACUUGAACCAGAUGACCAAUCUAGAUUCCAAAUAUCUUUCCAAUAUUAAAGGCUUUCAUUUUAUCACCACACAGUUCUGAAAACAUUUUUUAUUAUUAUAACAGUUAGAGAGGCAGCACCAAAGAGCCAGGAAAGAUUCCUUGCUCCAGACAAUUUAUAUUUCAGACUCUGCACCAGCAAAAGAUUUUAGACCAAUCUUUGUUUUAACUCUGACUUAUGAAAUUUCCAGACCCAGGGAACAUUUAUACCACCAAGAGUUUGUUUCUCUGCACUGUUUCAGGGCAACAAUUUUGAGAAAUUUGCUAGGUCAGUGGCUUCAGGCCAUCCCAACAACACUGCCAAGAUCACACUAAGGGACCAUUUCCAGGAAGGUAGAAACUAAAGCAGGGCCCUAGGUAUACCCUGCGGAAUGCUGGUUUUCAAAGCUUGAUGGCCAAACACCCCAUUUUCACUGGAUUUGGGAGAAUCAGACUGAAUUCAUGCUACACAUGGCUUUUAUAGGGCUGAAUUUUCAGUAUAAACUCCUUUGAUCUUGGAACAUUAUAAAAGCCAAAUGGGAAAUUUCUCUUUGUUCAUACUCAAAA